GCGGGGAAUAUUGGACAAUGAGCGCAAGCCUGAUCCAGCAAUGCCGCGUGGGUGAAGAAGGUCUUCGGAUCGUAAAGCCCUUUCGACAGGGACGAUGAUGACGGUACCUGUAGAAGAAGCUCCGGCUAACUUCGUGCCAGCAGCCGCGGUAAUACGAGGGGGGCUAGCGUUACCCGGAGUUACUGGGCGUAUAGGGCGCGUAGGCGGCUCUGUUAGUCAGGCGUGCAAUUCCUGGGCUUAACCUGGGGAAUGAGCUUGAUACUGCAGUGCUUGAGGCCGGGAGAGGGUGGUGGAAUUCCCAGUGUAGAGGUGAAAUUCGUAGAUAUUGGGAAGAACACCGGUGGCGAAGGCGACCACCUGGCUCGGUUCUGACGCUGAGGCACGACAGCGUGGGGAGCAAGCAGGAUUAGAAACCCUUGUAGACC
RNAcentral lists this ribosomal RNA (425 nucleotides) under uncultured bacterium. Its description in RNAcentral is "partial 16S ribosomal RNA". It matches the Rfam family "Bacterial small subunit ribosomal RNA", at positions 354 to 796 of the family's 1533-position model. The record is from RNAcentral.